This 204-nucleotide ribosomal RNA is filed under the name uncultured bacterium. Its description in RNAcentral is "partial 16S ribosomal RNA". It matches the Rfam family "Bacterial small subunit ribosomal RNA", at positions 524 to 727 of the family's 1533-position model. The record is from RNAcentral.
UACGGAGGGUGCAAGCGUUGUCCGGAUUUAUUGGGUUUAAAGGGUGCGUAGGCGGCCCGUUAAGUCAGCGGUGAAAUCCCGGGGCUCAACCCCGGAACUGCCGUUGAUACUGGCGGGCUUGAGUUCGGUGAAGGCGGGCGGAACUGGCGGUGUAGCGGUGAAAUGCUUAGAUACCGCCAAGAACCCCGAUUGCGUAGGCAGCCG